GAUGAACGCUGGCGGCGUGCCUAAUACAUGCAAGUCGAGCGAACAGACGAGGAGCUUGCUCCUCUGACGUUAGCGGCGGACGGGUGAGUAACACGUGGAUAACCUACCUAUAAGACUGGGAUAACUUCGGGAAACCGGAGCUAAUACCGGAUAAUAUAUUGAACCGCAUGGUUCAAUAGUGAAAGACGGUUUUGCUGUCACUUAUAGAUGGAUCCGCGCCGCAUUAGCUAGUUGGUAAGGUAACGGCUUACCAAGGCAACGAUGCGUAGCCGACCUGAGAGGGUGAUCGGCCCCACUGAACCUGAGACACGGUCAGACUCCUACGGGAGGCAGCAGUAGGGAAUCUUCCGCAAUGGGCGAAAGCCUGACGGAGCAACGCCGCGUGAGUGAUGAAGGUCUUCGGAUCGUAAAACUCUGUUAUUAGGGAAGAACAAAUGUGUAAGUAACUAUGCACGUCUUGACGGUACCUAAUCAGAAAGCCACGGCUAACUACGUG
RNAcentral lists this ribosomal RNA (496 nucleotides) under uncultured bacterium. RNAcentral describes it as "partial 16S ribosomal RNA". It matches the Rfam family "Bacterial small subunit ribosomal RNA", at positions 28 to 507 of the family's 1533-position model. The record is from RNAcentral.